CUGACACUGCCUGGGUUCCCAUCAUGUCACUGUCUGGCUGCAGUGGACCUCGUCCCUGGGUCAACUCUUGUCUUGUUUACCUGGCUAAUUGUCUUGGUGCUCUCCCUUCGGCCCUUUCACAGAAGUCUCUCCCCUAGUCCUUCUGGCCUGUUUGCCUGCUCUGCCUUUCCCCUUUUCUCUUCUGUUGGGACCUGGAGAUCUUCUGACAGAGCCCUGUGAGCUGAGCAGCUCCAGCAGUUGGAUCUCCAUGAAUUACCAAGGGAUGUAAAGACUUAGAAGAGAGUUACAAGAGGAAAUGUAAAACCAUCCAUUUUUACCAAAAUUAAAUGUGCAAAAGGCUACAUA
Homo sapiens (human) is the source of this 345-nucleotide long non-coding RNA. RefSeq lists it as uncharacterized. The record is from RefSeq and is a predicted model, not a curated record. The transcript has 3 exons. Lineage: Eukaryota; Metazoa; Chordata; Mammalia; Primates; Hominidae.